RNAcentral lists this unclassified non-coding RNA (4572 nucleotides) under Homarus americanus (American lobster). RNAcentral's name for it is "uncharacterized LOC121855541, transcript variant X4". Lineage: Eukaryota; Metazoa; Arthropoda; Malacostraca; Decapoda; Nephropidae. The record is from RNAcentral.
ACUGCCAGGGGUCGGUGGUGGUGAGCUGUGUUCGGCCCGCUCUCUGUGGCACUCCCAGGGACCCCCGCCGCGACCUUCUAGGACUCCCACAGGACUCCUCUAGGAUCCAUGUCAAAUAGUUAACUUGAAGGAGGAGGAACAGUGAGAUAGAAUGAUGGAGAAGUGAGAUAAUUAAGUGAGAGAAAAAGUGAGAUAAUGAAGAAGUGAGAGAAAAGUGAGAUAACUCGAACUAAGUGAGAGAAAAAGAGAAAAUACUUCGUGUUUAUCAGAGUACAAAACGGGUAUCAUCGACUAGACAACAAUGGUUAAUGCCAAUGGAAUUUUAUGGUUAUUGAAUGGAAAACGUAGAACAGGGAUUAAGAAAAUGGAGAACUGUGGUUAAUGAGAAAUAAAUGAAGAAUAAUGAUGAUGGGAAAAUACAGCAAAAUGUUCUUUGAAGUAAUGAAUGAUUGGGAGAAAAAUGGUGAAUGAUCAGUGAAGGAGAAGAGGAAGAAGUGUGGUUAACGAGGAAAUUAACGAUGCAUCAAAACGGUGUUGAACGGUAGGGAAACAUGACAAGACCACGAGAGGGUGAUUCAUUACCCUGAGGCCCUGACACCAUGUAUACAACAGUUAUACAUAAUGUAUUUACAAUAGUUAAGUUUAGGGUAGAAAUGUACAUACAAUUCAAAAUAUUAUUUAUUAAGGAAAAUGAGAAGCAUUUAUGUGUUGAGACUCGACCAGGGGUGUGAGAUGACUUUUAUGGCUCAACCUGCGUGGCUCUGAGCGGUUCUCCGUCAGUGAGUGAGUCAAACCAGGUCAGGUAACAUAGAGCUGACUGACACAGGUGAAGAUGUUUUCUAAAGUGUUUAAAGUAGACAAGAAGUGUCGGGAUGGUGGUCGUCCAGAGCGCCCCGCCUCGGCCAGCGACCACCACCCAGCCUACUAUCCUCUACUACCGUCCUCGCUCCAAGAUCACAGGAAACGGGUGACUAUCCAUGACACUCAGGCACAAUCCCUGGAACAAGACUUGGACCUGUUGGAGCUGGUGUGUCGCAGUGACAGUCUACACAAGAGGCUGGACGAACUGCAGGCCAAGUACGAGAGGGUGGACGACGGCAUGGAAAACCUGACGAGCAGAGAAGCCCACAUCAAGCACCUCAGGUCAGUCAAGACCAAGAAGCCAGCCUCGGGGCUCUUCAAUGCCAUGAGAACCUCCAAGUCGUUCGAGGAAGGCGAGAAUACAAAGAAACCCAACUUCUUUAAGAGGAUAUUCGGCAACAGGUUAUCUAAGAGCGAGGACGACUUGCUGGAUAAGUCGCCGCCCUCGUCAUCCGUAGCACACGACGAAGUCAGCGAUAGCGAGGUGCCACCGACACCGCCGCCCAUGAAGGAACGACGAUCAGCCAGUGAGGACAUCUUAUCCACCCACGAUCUACUGCUGCGGGGACACGAGAAGCGGCAGAGUUGGUGCGCGGAAUUCACGGAGCGAGAGAUGAUGCCACCGCCAUCCAGCGCCGACCUGCAAAAGUCUGGCCUUAAGAGGAAGAGAGUGAUCAAGGUGUAUAAUCUUAGUCCAUUAGACCAGAAGGACCCCAGGAUGGGCUCCACGGAGUCCUGCAGCGACUCUACGGAUUCUGAGAUGGAAUUCAAAUCCAGAUAUGGCAGCGGAAACUUGCGUCGGGUGAGCAGUGGCUCCCAGCGGCACUAUACACACCGUGAGGAGCAACCGGGGGAGGACUGCUGCCAUUAUGCCAACGUGGAUGUUAUCAGGGAGUGUAGACCUGACUCCCCCGACCCCUACAAACACCCGGAACACAUUAACCAGGUAGACGGUGCUGGGGGGAGUGAGGAAGCCCUUGUGUCUCAUGACUCACCUUCCUGCAUCACCCGCCAGAAUUCCAGAGGCCUCAGAGGCACCCCCAAGACUACCCGGGGGGAGGCGACGACGUCGAUCCACUUCAGGAGACAGAAUGACUUAGAUGUAGAACGAGGCGACAGAAGAAAAGGCAGAGCUGACAUGGACAACGUGAAUCUUGAUAAGAACGACGAAGACAUAGGUGAGGUGAAGGAGGCGACGAUAAGACGGUGUGUGAGCAGUAAGGGCGGGACAAGAUCUCGGGAAAGUUCACCUUCUGUAGCGGCGAAGACACAAACUCUUCCUCGAGUUGAGAGUAGAAUUCGACCCAUCCUGAAACACACCGGCCAGAGCUUUGACAGCGAGGUGUUCAACAUAUACAAGAUGGGUCCUCUUCUGUCGAGAACUCCCAGCUCAAAGGAGGUACUGCUCACUAGGACACCCAGCACACAGAAGCACUCCAGGACUCCCAGCUCACAGGAACUUUCCAAGACUACCCACGACUCACAGGAUCUUCUAUUUUCCAAGACUUUGAGCUGCCAGGAGCUGUCUAAAGCUCCCAGUUCUCAGGAAACAGGACUCAGCAAGGCUCCCAGCUCACAGGAACUGCCCACGAGACUACCAACGAAGGCAUCCAUCCAGGAGUUGGACCACUUCCUGACGGCUAUCAUAAAGAACUUGGAGUUGCAACUGGAGGCGGGAGGUAGCGUCGCCUUCAAGCCCCGAACAGCAGGAGGAACUCUGGAGGGCAUCAAGAGGAAGAGGAAGAAGAGAAAGGAAGACAUACUGGGAGAGGAAAACAAGAUGGAGGCUUUGGAAGAUUCACCCAGGAAGUGUAAGAGGAUGAGUGAGUGUGGCGCGUGUGGACGUCGCUGGGUAGAGCCACGCCUUCUACCCUGCCUCCACACCGUCUGCACGCCCUGUCUACACGCCCGCGCCACACAUAUCACCCCUACGCCUUCAAACCCCGCUCAGAAUGGCUCGUCCACAUACCCCAGUGCCACAGACAAAAGCCAGAUCACGCCCACACCCACACCAAGGAGUAACAGCAGAAGGGCGUCACAGGAGCAUGAAGGAGGGGGCUCACUUGUCCUCUCUACUGCACCCACUACCUGUGCUACCUCACCCACACCACCCACUAUGACCUACAACGGUGGUCUGCUGAGUAGACACUGGAAUGGGGAGGGCAGCAGUAGCACUCACCUGUCACUCGGCAGUGUCAGUAGCGUCAGUAGCAGCGUCAGUAGCACCACAACUUCCAGGGACCAACACACCAACACCACAACUACUACUGCUAUUACUACUACAACUGACACUAAUAGUCAGCCAGGCAUUAAUGCAAACCAAGAAGAGUUACCUCGGGGAAACCAGCACAGUCAUAGAGAGCAAAAGCAGCAGUGGACGGCUUCCACCGACUUGGAAUCUGUUAUUGAGCUGCUGACAAACCUUUCCCCAAACUCCUCAUGUAAUAACAAUCCGACCCCUAAGGUGACCAUAACGCCCACACCAAGUGAAGGUAACACUCUCAGCAAGCCCACACCUCCAGUAUGUAGCGAGGAUGAUGCGCUGUCUCCAUCUAGUACGAUAGAUUCUAGGUGUUCCUCUAGGACAAGAUCGAGCGAACAGUCCUCUAGUUGUGAAAGCAUUCAGAAGAGUAAAGGCACUUGGGUUGUGUGGUGCCCAGAGUGUGGGUACGAGGCAGAGGUUCCUGUGGGAGGUGUCGAGUGUUUCCCUCUCAACUAUGUGCUACAGAAGCAGUUGGUUCUCGAGGCUCUCAACUCAUCCUCGACCACUGUCUUUUGCGACCUGUGUCAUGAUGAUGUAGUGGCUGAGGAACGCUGUGAUACCUGCCCUGUAAACCUGUGUCGACUUUGCAGCCAUGCACACACACGUCAGCGGCGCACCACUCACCACACCGUCAUAUCUUUACAAGAAGCAAGAAAUUUAGGCAUCCGAGAGGUUGCUCACACUCUCGUCUGCGCGACCCAUGGUGAAGGGGAGGUCGGGUGGUGGUGCCGCGGGUGUAAUGAACCACUGUGUGCGUCUUGUCUUGCCACCCUCCAUCGUGGUCACCCGACCGUCACAGUUGACCAGGAGGCACCACAAGCACGCAGGAAGCUCACCACGUUGCUCGACCAAGCCUCAUCCAGAAUGAGCGACCUUUUAACCACAGUCGAGGACCUGACGGGAGCGGCCACAAGAGUGCAGCAACGAGGUCGUGUUGUCAGCGACCAAGUCAAUGCAUUUAUUGAUGACUACAUAAUGGCUCUGGAGGAACACCGACACACACUACUCAGACAGGUACGCCAAGCAUGUGAACGCGCACAGCGAGGCAUUGUGACAGAAUCUCAGAGGGCGGGUCAGACUGCAUCAUGGUUGAGACAGGGAUGUGAUCUUACGCACGAUCUCCUUCAUCACGCCGGGGACGCUGAGGCUCUCGCUCUUGCCCCACUUGUCACCCGCAGAUUACAGGUGGUCUACAAAUGUAAUUGACUCAAAAUUUUACAUAAUGACGAGACCUGAGACCCUUGUGUCCACCUCCAAAACAUGGUGAUUCCUCCAAAACACUAUGUCCCUUCCAGAACAGUUGCUUGGAAAAAUUACACUGAAAUCCUGUUCCAUUUUGACUCAGACUCUGCUGGGCGAGGAAGUGAGGGGUUGGUUGCGGUGGGAGAGGUUAGCACUCCUUCGGGAGCACCGGGCAGGCAAGGUGCGGGGCCAUCGCAUCCAGGGUG